UAACUAAGCAGUUUGUAGUGCUGCAGCCCUCUCUGAAUCCGCUUUAGCAGUUAUUUAAAGUGCAGCAAGUUAGUGUUAUAGCUUAUCUUCAUUCAUCGGGGAAUUGAUUUUGCGUUUAUAUCAAAUUCUACAUUUUAAGAAGACUUAUAUGGGCUCUGUGUGGCAGUUGUUUGAAGAAUUUUAGAAAUUAUUCGCGGGGUGCAAGGAAUUUAUUUGGCUAGGCCCGGGCACAUGAGAUCAAAACAAUAAUAUUGCGGAGCGAUAGCAAAACACGUCUGUAUGCUACAGGAAUUACACGUGAACUGAAAUGUACUGACAGCGUGUGGUAUUGAAAGUGCUUUGAACGAGCUUGCACAUCCAUUCAGGUCAGAUAAAGUAUGACUCAUUAUAACCAGACUGCUCGAAGUCACUAAAGAUCACAGAAGGGCUUGGAUUGAAAAAAAAAUCAGAGGAGAUAACAUCAUUAAAAAAUUCUUUACGAGUGUAUUCACACAAUUAAAAAAAUAUUGAUACUAUUCUUAUUGCUAUUGAGAACGUUAUUAAUGAACUGUACUCCUAUUAUACUAGUAAACCAAAUAAGAAAUGUUCAGGUUUGUUAAUAAUUAUCAAGAAUCGUAUUGACAAAGUCAAUUCAAUGAUCAUAGAGCAACUGUGCAAAGAUUUUCUUUCGAAGCCUUAUAGAAAUAAAUCCGUUUUAGGCAAUUUGUGAAAUAAUUCUAGUUUUCUAAUCUUCGGCUGCCAGUUAUCCUCUUCAAAAGCAAUAAUAAGUAAAUUCUCUAUUCAAAGACAAAAAUUUUCAAGAAGAAUAGACAUAAAAAAUGGUAAAACAAAUUUGAAAAAUUUUACUGAAAUGAGGAUGUACCUAUUUCUAAAAAUACAGUUUGUAAGAUUAUGUCACGAUUUCAACAAAGUGGAUCGACGAAAAACAUUUGACAGACUGGAUAACUGAUGAGAUGGUCUAUGAAGAAUAGGACAUAUUCUGACGUAUGAUUUUUGCAGUACGAUAUUAAUUUGUACUGCAGGAAAACUAAUAUAAAUAGACAUGUGACUGAUAAAUUAAGUGGUUUUUAAUGAUCCUGCUCGAUUUUUCAGCACAGGGUAAUCAAAGGCAAAAGAGUCCGAAAGUCUAUUGAAAUAUGUCCUUUAAUUUAUAAUGACAAUUCAAUAUAAUCUUUUUAUAGGCAUAUUUGCUAUCUUUUUAUAGAUAUCUUUUUAUCAUUAGCGACCAGAAAAAACAAGACAUCAGACAUUAUGCUAUCAUUUGUAGCAAAGCCACAUGGAAGUAGUCGUUCAGUAGAUAAACAGCAUGAAAUUGAAACAGCAAAAAAUAAAUCCGACUCAAAGUAUUAAAUAUGAACAAAUUUCAUCCCUAUAGUUAUGCCUGUCCAGGCGUUAAAGGAAGAUGAUCGUUGUCUCAAAAUUUGCGAGUCCAUAAUGGAAUGAGUUUAUCAUAAUCCAUUAUUAAUAAGUAAUGUAGUUUUUUUCAGACGAGACACCAUUUCAGUCAAAUGGAAAUUUCAAUAGACACAAUUAUAGAUUUUAGUAUGAAAUUAAUCUUUAUUGGAUAACAGUCAUAUACGAUAUCUUUAAAAGCUAAAUAUCUGAGCAGUUUCAGCAAUAUGAGAAAUGAAAGAUAAUUCCGUAGAUACCUAAUUUCAGCAAGAUGGUGCUGCAUCACAUUUCGACAGUUUCUUGAUAUCAAUUUUCCCGAUAGAUGGAUAGUUCAAAGACGAAUGAUUGAAUGACUCCAAAAAUCCACUGAUUUAAUAUCAUUAAACUUUUUUAAUAGGAGUAUUUAAGUUUAAUCUUCAAAAUCUCGACGAAUUAAGAAACUAAA
Long non-coding RNA from Phymastichus coffea, 1837 nucleotides. RefSeq lists it as uncharacterized. NCBI's taxonomy places the organism in Eukaryota, Metazoa, Arthropoda, Insecta, Hymenoptera, Eulophidae. The record is from RefSeq and is a predicted model, not a curated record. The transcript has 8 exons.